UCCAGUAUGGGAGGACACUUUCCACUGUGUUAAACAUAGAUCAAAUUAUUUAAAACGACUGAAUGAUAUUCACAGAAUUUGAAAGCUACAUGAAGGCGUUGGCGAGGGAAAUGAAGGGAGCAAUUAAAACAAGUGUUUCCACAUAGCAUAACCGCUCCAAAGCUGAUGCUGUUUUGAGGAGAACAGGCUAGCUCCCUAUCUGCUAAGCACACCUCUGCCUCUGCUAGCCACACAACCACUGCCUCCUGCUUGGCUCUCUCCAGGGGAUGACAGUAAACAGGCCCACAGUGUUUCCCAAACCCCCUUUCUCACCCCCAAGGACCUGAGCCCCUGCUCGGGCUGGCGUUCCGACUGCAGCUAUGGUCUUCUGGCCUGAUAUCACCAGGCGUGCUACCUUAUCCUGGACCCCUGCUUAGAGUCAUCACUGUCAGCCCUAGCUCAGCCAGGACCCUACUCAUGCUAUGUUGAACGAGCACCAUGGAAGGAGGGGGAGGAAAACAGACAGCUGCUCUCUACCACACAUUCACCAAGUCAUCCAAUGUUUGCAUCAUGAACAAUUUUAGCAUUUUCUAAAAUAAAUAUAUAAUACAUUUUGUUCA
Long non-coding RNA from Oncorhynchus gorbuscha (pink salmon), 599 nucleotides. RefSeq lists it as uncharacterized. The record is from RefSeq and is a predicted model, not a curated record. The transcript has 4 exons. NCBI's taxonomy places the organism in Eukaryota, Metazoa, Chordata, Actinopteri, Salmoniformes, Salmonidae.